Molecule: ribosomal RNA, 817 nt
Filed under: uncultured cyanobacterium
Lineage: Bacteria; Bacillati; Cyanobacteriota
Description: bacterial SSU rRNA
Rfam family: Bacterial small subunit ribosomal RNA
Source: RNAcentral
CAAAAAAAUAAGUAAUUAUUUUUUUGUUUUAGUGGCGGACGGGUGAGUAACGCGUAAGAAUCUACCUUUAGGAGGGGGAAAACAAUUGGAAACGGUUGCUAACACCCCAUAUGCUGAGGAGUAAAAUACAUUGUGCCUAGAGAUGAGCUUGCGUCUGAUUAGUUAGUUGGUAAGGUAAUUGCUUCCCAAGACUAUGAUCAGUAGCUGGUCUGAGAGGAUGAUCAGCCACACUGGGACUGAGACACGGCCCAGACUCCUACGGGAGGCAGCAGUGAGGAAUUUUCCGCAAUGGGCGAAAGCCUGACGGAGCAAUGCCGCGUGGAGGAUGAAAGCCUAUGGGUUGUAAACUCCUUUUCUCAGAGAAGAAAUUUUGACGGUAUCUGAGGAAUAAGCAUCGGCUAACUCCGUGCCAGCAGCCGCGGUAAUACGGGGGAUGCAAGUGUUAUCCGGAAUAAUUGGGCGUAAAGCGUCUGUAGGUGGUUGACCAAGUCUGUUGUUAAAAAUCAGGGCUUAACCCUGAUCCGGCAACAGAAACUAGUAAACUUGAGUACGGUAGGGGCAGAGGGAAUUCUCGGUGUAGUGGUGAAAUACGUAGAUAUCGAGAAGAACACCAAUAGCGAAAGCACUCUGCUGGGCCGAAACUGACAUUGAGAGACGAAAGCUAGGGGAGCAAAAGGGAUUAGAUACCCCUGUAGUCCUAGCCGUAAACGAUGGAUACUAAGUGCUGUGCGACUCAAAACGUCCAGUGCUGUAGCUAACGCGUGAAGUAUCCCGCCUGGGGAGUAUGCUCGCAAGAGUGAAACCCAAAGGAAUUGAC